AUGGGAUUACGGAUCCCCAUCCUCUCUGAUCCUUACUCGGACCAGUGCUCAGGAAAACCACUUAGAAUGAUCGCGCAGAAGAAGCCUCGACGUUUCGUUGAUCUGCCCCUGCUUCCGUGGCUCCACACGAUGGGUCCCACUGCUUCUUGGCAGUGGGUGUGCGGAGCAAGAAGUCGGGCAGCAGUGCUGUGCUGCUGGCAGAGACCCGUUGGGAAAGGCCACGGUGCAGACACGCAGGCCUGGCCAGGCCCCAGUGUUCCCCACGCACAGCCAUCACAGGCUCUGUGUCCCCAUGCGUCCCAGCACAGCCCUGGGCACACCUUGGCUGCUCCUCAUUGCAUCGGCCACACGCUGCUCCCGCACACAAAGGCCUUUAUGCUCGCGCACACAAUGGGCUCUUUCAGUUGCAUUUACUUUUACCUUAUGUUUCAGUCAAGUGUGAAGAGCCUCUGGGUGAAAGGGGUCAAAGACAUAAAUUCAGCCAGGAUGGGGUUGUGCUGCUCUUCCCACGGUACACAUUCUUACGUAUACGAAGGAGGAAUGGUGUUUGGAAACCAUCUACACAGAAUGGACACUGGGAGCUCUUCCACGAGGGCCAUUUGCUGCAGACGUUCUGGCUUUGAGGGAGAUGCUCCCACCUCCUGUCCUGAGCUGAACACGUAUAGCACCUCAGUCACCCACUAUGUCUCAACUGAGCAAACAUGGGAAGGCUCUCCUCAAAUGACAGAGGGAUCAGGCUGCUGUGGUCUAAGGAGAAGUGCACGCGCCAGCAUCUUUGUGGCAUUCAGGCAGCUGCAGGAUGACCACCAUCAUCUCUUCAUUGCCAUACUGUGGGUAAAAAUGGUAGCAGGCUUGCUCCUCAGCAAAAAAACUUCAGUUCAAGUCACAGGAACCUCCCCCCCCUUGAGGAAGAAUGAGGUGCUGGGAUGCAGCAAUGCAUCCCUUGUCAGAGCACCCUUUAUGAGCACAUCUUGCAACUGCCUCUUGUCCACAGGUGAGGCUGAUCCGGAGGCAGCCCAGGGCAAAGGUGGCACCAUGUAG
This 1041-nucleotide long non-coding RNA is filed under the name Phasianus colchicus (ring-necked pheasant). RNAcentral's name for it is "lncRNA (ENSPCLG00000007216.1)". The record is from RNAcentral. Lineage: Eukaryota; Metazoa; Chordata; Aves; Galliformes; Phasianidae.